CGAAGGGUGCAAGCGUUGUUCGGAAUCACUGGGCGUAAAGAAUGCGUAGGCGGCUAGACAAGUCAGGAGUGAAAUCCCAGGGCUCAACCCUGGAACUGCUCUUGAAACUGUCUUGCUAGAGUCCCGGAGGGGUUAGCGGAAUUCCGAGUGUAGAGGUGAAAUUCGCAGAUAUUCGGAGGAACACCAGUGGCGAAGGCGGCUAACUGGACGGGAACUGACGCUGAGGCAUGAAAGUGUGGGGAUCAAACAGGAUUAGAUACCCUGGUAGUCCACACCGUAAACGAUGUGUGCUAGUUGUCGGGCAGCUUUGCUGUUCGGUGACGGAGCUAACGUUUUAAGCACACCGCCUGGGAAGUACGGCCGCAAGGUUA
RNAcentral lists this ribosomal RNA (371 nucleotides) under uncultured organism. Its description in RNAcentral is "bacterial SSU rRNA". It matches the Rfam family "Bacterial small subunit ribosomal RNA", at positions 526 to 896 of the family's 1533-position model. The record is from RNAcentral.